Molecule: ribosomal RNA, 430 nt
Filed under: uncultured bacterium
Lineage: Bacteria
Description: bacterial SSU rRNA
Rfam family: Bacterial small subunit ribosomal RNA
Source: RNAcentral
GAGUUUGAUCGUGGCUCAGAUUGAACGCUGGCGGCAGGCCUAACACAUGCAAGUCGAGCGGUAGAGAGAAGCUUGCUUCUCUUGAGAGCGGCGGACGGGUGAGUAAUGCCUAGGAAUCUGCCUGGUAGUGGGGGAUAACGCUCGGAAACGGACGCUAAUACCGCAUACGUCCUACGGGAGAAAGCAGGGGACCUUCGGGCCUUGCGCUAUCAGAUGAGCCUAGGUCGGAUUAGCUAGUUGGUGAGGUAAUGGCUCACCAAGGCGACGAUCCGUAACUGGUCUGAGAGGAUGAUCAGUCACACUGGACUGAGACACGGUCCAGACUCCUACGGGAGGCAGCAGUGGGGGAAUAUUGGACAAUGGGCGAAAGCCUGAUCCAGCCAAUGCCGCGUGUGUGAAGAAGGUCUUCGGAUUGUAAAGCACUUAAGUU